GCGUCAGUAGUGCAACGGAUAGAGCACGCAUUCCUGAAAAGGGUGAGGUGCAGGUUGUAGUCCCGGCUGACGCG
Molecule: non-coding RNA, 74 nt
Organism: Parelaphostrongylus tenuis
Lineage: Eukaryota; Metazoa; Nematoda; Chromadorea; Rhabditida; Metastrongylidae
Source: the annotation of a GenBank genome assembly